Molecule: ribosomal RNA, 873 nt
Filed under: Vibrio sp.
Lineage: Bacteria; Pseudomonadati; Pseudomonadota; Gammaproteobacteria; Vibrionales; Vibrionaceae
Description: bacterial SSU rRNA
Rfam family: Bacterial small subunit ribosomal RNA
Source: RNAcentral
CUGAUGCAGCCAUGCCGCGUGUGUGAAGAAGGCCUUCGGGUUGUAAAGCACUUUCAGUCGUGAGGAAGGUAGUGUAGUUAAUAGCUGCAUUAUUUGACGUUAGCGACAGAAGAAGCACCGGCUAACUCCGUGCCAGCAGCCGCGGUAAUACGGAGGGUGCGAGCGUUAAUCGGAAUUACUGGGCGUAAAGCGCAUGCAGGUGGUUUGUUAAGUCAGAUGUGAAAGCCCGGGGCUCAACCUCGGAAUAGCAUUUGAAACUGGCAGACUAGAGUACUGUAGAGGGGGGUAGAAUUUCAGGUGUAGCGGUGAAAUGCGUAGAGAUCUGAAGGAAUACCGGUGGCGAAGGCGGCCCCCUGGACAGAUACUGACACUCAGAUGCGAAAGCGUGGGGAGCAAACAGGAUUAGAUACCCUGGUAGUCCACGCCGUAAACGAUGUCUACUUGGAGGUUGUGGCCUUGAGCCGUGGCUUUCGGAGCUAACGCGUUAAGUAGACCGCCUGGGGAGUACGGUCGCAAGAUUAAAACUCAAAUGAAUUGACGGGGGCCCGCACAAGCGGUGGAGCAUGUGGUUUAAUUCGAUGCAACGCGAAGAACCUUACCUACUCUUGACAUCCAGAGAACUUUCCAGAGAUGGAUUGGUGCCUUCGGGAACUCUGAGACAGGUGCUGCAUGGCUGUCGUCAGCUCGUGUUGUGAAAUGUUGGGUUAAGUCCCGCAACGAGCGCAACCCUUAUCCUUGUUUGCCAGCGAGUAAUGUCGGGAACUCCAGGGAGACUGCCGGUGAUAAACCGGAGGAAGGUGGGGGACGACGUCAAGUCAUCAUGGCCCUUACGAGUAGGGCUACACACGUGCUACAAUGGCGCAUACAGAGGGC